RNAcentral lists this unclassified non-coding RNA (200 nucleotides) under soil metagenome. Its description in RNAcentral is "partial contains internal transcribed spacer 2 and large subunit ribosomal RNA". The record is from RNAcentral.
CUGCUGGCUUCGGCCUAGCUCGUUCGUAAUGCAUUAGCAUCCCGAUGACAAGUUUGGAUUGACUUGGCGUAAUAGACUAUUCGCUGAGGAGUAAGUGGCCUUCGGGUUACUGAGCCAACUCGUUUCAGGAAGCUUCUAAUCCCUAAAGUCUACCUUUUAGAUUAGAUCUCCAAUCAGGCAGGAUUACCCGCUGAACUUAA